Long non-coding RNA from Bufo gargarizans (Asiatic toad), 528 nucleotides. RefSeq lists it as uncharacterized. The record is from RefSeq and is a predicted model, not a curated record. The transcript has 3 exons. Lineage: Eukaryota; Metazoa; Chordata; Amphibia; Anura; Bufonidae.
GAAAAGUUGGACUGAAUAGGCACGCCCCUUCUGAAGAAGCUGUGCGAAACGCGCGUCAGGGGUGCGCUCACCAGGGUCCCAAGUGUGUAUCUUCAUUUCCAGCUGAUGUUUAAUGUCUUUUCCAUCCAUGGAGGAGCUUGGUUGUCACUUGAAGAAGUUACAAUGUUGCCAUCACAUAUUUCUCUUGAAGAUAUAUUAUGGUAAGUUUGUCGUGUAGCCGUCACCUCUGACAAGUAAAUGUUCUGCAUUUUGUGUAACAACUUGAUCUGGGACCCUUGAAGCUCGUGAAACCUCCAGCGUGCGGCUGUGCCAAACAGAUUUGCUGAUCUAUAAUUUGCUGGUUGUGUAAUAAACUCUCUGGCAGAAGGUCCUGGAACGACAUGAAAGGGAAUACUGCAGCCGAACUGAUGUCUUUAAUUCGCAAUUCAUUGUCGGUCAGCGGCAGAUCUCCUCUUACCUUUAUAUCGGGAGCAGAUUGAGUAUGAACGUGUAAUAAUUCGUCGUCUGCGUAUCUAGGAUCUGAGCCCC